GGAAAAUUUCCUUUGCCGUCAUUAGGAUUAUGGUGAAAGUUUGUUGUGAACUUGAAGGCUUUAAGAGUUUAAUGCUGCUUUGAUUAAUGUUUUUUGACCACGGCAAUUUUAUGUAAUCAGUUUAUUUUUUAAAAGUUUGACAUUUCUAAAUUUAUUCUUCGACUAAGGUUUCAGAACUCAUUAUGUGUUUGUGAAAGAUUAACCUUUUCCCAUAUUUGAAAUAAUUUCGGUGAAAGGAA
RNAcentral lists this unclassified non-coding RNA (239 nucleotides) under Hevea brasiliensis (rubber tree). The record is from RNAcentral. Lineage: Eukaryota; Viridiplantae; Streptophyta; Magnoliopsida; Malpighiales; Euphorbiaceae.